AUUGAACGCUGGCGGCAGGCCUAACACAUGCAAGUCGAGCGGAUGAAGGGAGCUCUUUCUUGUAUUCAGUGGCGGACGGGCGAGUAAUUCCCACGAAUCUGCCCGGUCGUGGGGGAUAACGUCCGUAAACGGGCGCUAAUAUAGCAUACGUUCUGAGGGAGAAACUGGGGGAUCUUCGGACCUCACGCUAUUUGAUGAGCCUAGGUCGGAUUAGCUAGUUGGUGGGGUAAAGGCCUACCAAGGCGACGAUCCGUAACUGGUCUGAGAGGAUGAUCGGUCACACUGGAACUGAGACACGGUCCAGACUCCUACGGGAGGCAGCAGUGGGGAAUCUUGGACAAUGGGCGAAAGCCUGAUGAAGCAAUGCCGCGUGUGUGAAGAAGGUCUUCGGAUUGUAAAACACUUUAAGUUGGGAGGAAGAGCAGUAAAUUGAAACCUUGAUGUUUUGACGGUACCAACAGAGAAAGCACCGGCUAACUACGUG
This 484-nucleotide ribosomal RNA is filed under the name uncultured bacterium. RNAcentral describes it as "partial 16S ribosomal RNA". It matches the Rfam family "Bacterial small subunit ribosomal RNA", at positions 30 to 507 of the family's 1533-position model. The record is from RNAcentral.